Molecule: RNA transcript, 2024 nt
Organism: Cucumis sativus (cucumber)
Lineage: Eukaryota; Viridiplantae; Streptophyta; Magnoliopsida; Cucurbitales; Cucurbitaceae
Gene name: annexin D4
Exons: 7
Source: RefSeq, a predicted model, not a curated record
AUAAUCUCGGAUUCUUGCUAAAAAGUGUUCAGAUGUUCUGAAACCACUCCAAAUCUACAAAUGAGAGUUUCAUAUCAGAAUCCAAUAUAAGGAACUAGUUGGAAACAGAAGGAUAUACCCGCAGAUUCUUUAGGUGGUUAAAUCCUACGUACAAGAAGUGGGUAUAAAACUAAUCUAAAGUCGAACUAAAAUGAUCUUGCCAGAAGCUGGGUUGGGUUGGGUUUGUCAAUGGUCAGAAUAGGGAGAGGCGUGAUGAUCGUCGUCCGAGGUGAAAAGAGAAAAAGAAGAGCUGCGGAAACAGGGAGAAGAUGAAGGAAGAAUUAAUAGUGAUAACGCCCUAAGACGGGAACCUUUAAUUUCUACUUUCUAUAAUUUUAUAGAAUCACUAUUCUUGAAAGAAACUUAGACCAAUGAGUACUUUAGGGUUUAGAAUAAUUUUUACUAUUUUUUACGUGCUCUUGUUCUUUUGUUCCCUUUCAAGUUGAUCGUAAAAAAAUAGAGAUUAUUAUUACGAAAUUAAAAAAAUUAAUUUCAUUUCAUGUGUGUAUAUAUAUAAUAAUGGGUGUGUUGGAGGGGAUUGGGUUUUUUGUGUUGAGCUUAGUUGAAUUGGUUGAAGAAUUGAUAAAAUAAGAAUAAUUUUUAAAAUUUCUUAUGAUUUGUUAAUUUUAAAUUUUUGUGGAUCAUAGGAAUAGGUGUGUUAGUUAAAACUUUGUGGCCAUAUAUGAAUUAGGUUUUUGAUCCAGCGUAUGUGCACUUCAAACCUCCUCGAUCUUCAUAUAUUUAUUAUAAAUAAACACUCAAAUCUUUUUUCUCCCUCACUUCAUCCAUGGCUGAUUGCGAUGACCUCUUUUUAGGUAUUGGAAUAGAUGAAAAGAAAUUAGUAGACAUGGUGAGGAGAUCGGAUUUCAAUCCGGGCAACAUUAAGAGAAGGAGGGAACUUAUAAUGAUAGAAUUUCAACGCUUCAUGAAUGCUACAUUAAUGUGGAUGACAAGUCCAGCCGAAAGAGAUGCUCGUUUGUUACGAAAGGCUAUUAAAACCAGGGGGACGCAUGUUGGCAUAAUGGUGAUCAUCGAAAUCACAUGUACUAGAGAAUUCUGUGAUGUUUCGGCAGCAAAGGAUGUUUAUCAUCAUCUUUAUAAAAGCCUGUUGGAGUUUGAUUUAUCAAGAUAUAUCGUUGGGCCCGAACAAACGCUUUUAAAUUCAUUACUAAACACUAAAAGAUGUAAGGAAACAAAUAAGGAAGAGGAGAAGAUUGUAAUGUUGGACGCAGAAACUCUUGCAAAAGCAUUCAAUGACAAAUCUGAAGUCUACAUAGAAAAUAGAGAAAUUAUAAACAUAUUGAUGUAUAGAAGCAUCUCUCACCUUCGGGCUGUCUUUGAACAAUGCAAGAAAAUAGGAGUCACGCCUAAGAAUGAUAGUCCAGACUUAUGGCUUCACACGGCAUUGACAUAUUUAGUUCACCCUAUACAAAAUUUUGUUCAAUAGCUGCUAGAGAAUUCAUUGGCGUUUAAGUUAUUGAUGGCCGAAGAAGAAGAUGUGUGGGAUAAGGAUUAUUAUUCAUUGGAGGAUUCAUUAAGUCGAAUUAUUAUAACUUGUCCCAAAGUUGAUCUUGAUAAGAUUAAGAUAAAGUUUAAGGAGACAAGUAAGAUUACACUACAAGAACGGAUUCGACUUGUAUGCAAGGGAAGCUAUAAAGAUCUCCUGCUGGGCGUGUUAUCAAAAUAACGGAAAGCUGUUGAAGAAGCAAAGCUGCAAGAAGCGCAAAGCUGCAAGAAAGCAAUGGAGUUUGUCUCUGUUUUUGUUCUUUCAUUUUUCAAAAUAAACCAAUAGGAGCGUUGAAACAUUCUAUUCUAAUUGUGAUUCUAUUGGAAUUCUUUCCUUUUUUUCUAGGCUUUUUCCUUGUUAAAAUCCUUGAAACAUUUUAUUCUAAUUGUGAUUCUAUUGGAAUUCUUUCCUUUUUUUCUAGACUUUUUCCUUGUUAGAAUCCUUGAAACAUUCUAUUCUAAUUGUGAUUCUGUUGGAA